Megalops atlanticus (tarpon) is the source of this 72-nucleotide non-coding RNA. The record is from the annotation of a GenBank genome assembly. NCBI's taxonomy places the organism in Eukaryota, Metazoa, Chordata, Actinopteri, Elopiformes, Megalopidae.
GGCAGUGUAACAUAGUGGUGAGGAGUAGGGCUUGUAACCAAAAGGUUGCUGGUUCAAUUCCUGCUGUUGUAC